This 1801-nucleotide ribosomal RNA is filed under the name Campylobacter coli. RNAcentral's name for it is "partial 23S ribosomal RNA". It matches the Rfam family "Bacterial large subunit ribosomal RNA", at positions 467 to 2101 of the family's 2925-position model. The record is from RNAcentral. Lineage: Bacteria; Pseudomonadati; Campylobacterota; Epsilonproteobacteria; Campylobacterales; Campylobacteraceae.
UAAAUACUAAUACCAGAUCGAUAGUGCACAAGUACCGUGAGGGAAAGGUGAAAAGAACUGAGGUGAUCAGAGUGAAAUAGAACCUGAAACCAUUUGCUUACAAUCAUUCAGAGCCCUAUGUAGCAAUACAGGGUGAUGGACUGCCUUUUGCAUAAUGAGCCUGCGAGUUGUGGUGUCUGGCAAGGUUAAGCAAACGCGAAGCCGUAGCGAAAGCGAGUCUGAAUAGGGCGCUUAGUCAGAUGCUGCAGACCCGAAACGAAGUGAUCUAUCCAUGAGCAAGUUGAAGCUAGUGUAAGAACUAGUGGAGGACUGAACCCAUAGGCGUUGAAAAGCCCCGGGAUGACUUGUGGAUAGGGGUGAAAGGCCAAUCAAACUUCGUGAUAGCUGGUUCUCUCCGAAAUAUAUUUAGGUAUAGCGUUGUGUCGUAAUAUAAGGGGGUAGAGCACUGAAUGGGCUAGGGCAUACACCAAUGUACCAAACCCUAUCAAACUCCGAAUACCUUAUAUGUAAUCACAGCAGUCAGGCGGCGAGUGAUAAAAUCCGUCGUCAAGAGGGAAACAACCCAGACUACCAGCUAAGGUCCCUAAAUCUUACUUAAGUGGAAAACGAUGUGAAGUUACUUAAACAACCAGGAGGUUGGCUUAGAAGCAGCCAUCCUUUAAAGAAAGCGUAAUAGCUCACUGGUCUAGUGAUUUUGCGCGGAAAAUAUAACGGGGCUAAAGUAAGUACCGAAGCUGUAGACUUGCGCACAACUUAGAUUAUUUAAGUUUAGAAUAUGAGAAACUAAGUUAUAUGUUUAGUUAUAUUUUUACUGAUUUUUAUAGAGUAAAGAUAGAAAUAAAACUUAGUAAAAUCAGUAAAAAUAUUCUUAGACUAAAGUUAAGUAGUUUAAGUUGUGUGCAAGUGGUAGGAGAGCGUUCUAUUUGCGUCGAAGGUAUACCGGUAAGGAGUGCUGGAGCGAAUAGAAGUGAGCAUGCAGGCAUGAGUAGCGAUAAUUAAUGUGAGAAUCAUUAACGCCGUAAACCCAAGGUUUCCUACGCGAUGCUCGUCAUCGUAGGGUUAGUCGGGUCCUAAGUCGAGUCCGAAAGGGGUAGACGAUGGCAAAUUGGUUAAUAUUCCAAUACCAACAUUAGUGUGCGAUGGAAGGACGCUUAGGGCUAAGGGGGCUAGCGGAUGGAAGUGCUAGUCUAAGGUCGUAGGAGGUUAUACAGGCAAAUCCGUAUAACAAUACUCCGAGAACUGAAAGGCUUUUUGAAGUCUUCGGAUGGAUAGAAGAACCCCUGAUGCCGUCGAGCCAAGAAAAGUUUCUAAGUUUAGCUAAUGUUGCCCGUACCGUAAACCGACACAGGUGGGUGGGAUGAGUAUUCUAAGGCGCGUGGAAGAACUCUCUUUAAGGAACUCUGCAAAAUAGCACCGUAUCUUCGGUAUAAGGUGUGGUUCGCUUCGUAUUAGGAUUUACUCCGAAAGCGAAGAAACUUACAACAAAGAGUCCCUCCCGACUGUUUACCAAAAACACAGCACUCUGCUAACUCGUAAGAGGAUGUAUAGGGUGUGACGCCUGCCCGGUGCUCGAAGGUUAAUUGAUGGGGUUAGCAUUAGCGAAGCUCUUGAUCGAAGCCCGAGUAAACGGCGGCCGUAACUAUAACGGUCCUAAGGUAGCGAAAUUCCUUGUCGGUUAAAUACCGACCUGCAUGAAUGGCGUAACGAGAUGGGAGCUGUCUCAAAGAGGGAUCCAGUGAAAUUGUAGUGGAGGUGAAAAUUCCUCCUACCCGCGGCAAGACGGAAAGACCCCGUGGACCUU